CGCGCUCCGGGGACGUCUCCGUGCUUUACGGGGACGUCUCCAGACGUGCCAGUUCUUCCUGUUUGUGCCAGAGACGUCUCGGAGACAACCCGGAGACGUCUCGACUGUCCCUGUAACUUUUUCUUUCAUCUCAAAAAUUCUUCAAUAAGUUCUUAAAAAUCAUGGGAACUUGCCUAGACAUUUCUUAACAAUAUUCUUAAUUAACCAACUGAAAUCCUCAAAUAAGUUGUUAAGAUAAAGGGAAUUAUGCUCUAGUGUUUUGUAUUCAUCAAAAUCCAUUAGAGGGUCAACAAU
This 294-nucleotide long non-coding RNA is filed under the name Phoenix dactylifera (date palm). RNAcentral's name for it is "long non-coding RNA (PDAC_LNC022946)". The record is from RNAcentral. Lineage: Eukaryota; Viridiplantae; Streptophyta; Magnoliopsida; Arecales; Arecaceae.